UAGGCUUGCUGUAGCUCCGCAGCGGCGCCUGGGAUAUGGUCGCAAUGACGACGAUAUGCCGACACCGUAGCAAUUUCGGAGCUCAA
Molecule: non-coding RNA, 86 nt
Organism: Agrobacterium sp. DSM 25559
Lineage: Bacteria; Pseudomonadati; Pseudomonadota; Alphaproteobacteria; Hyphomicrobiales; Rhizobiaceae
Source: Rfam